This 26062-nucleotide long non-coding RNA is filed under the name Coffea arabica (coffee). RNAcentral's name for it is "long non-coding RNA (CARA_LNC000901)". Lineage: Eukaryota; Viridiplantae; Streptophyta; Magnoliopsida; Gentianales; Rubiaceae. The record is from RNAcentral.
CUGCAGGCUUUACGUUAGAGGAACCGUUUUGGGAUACAAGAGGUCGAAGUCCAACCAGUACCCGAACACUUCGUUGAUUCAGAUCGAAGGAGUGAACACAAAGGAGGAGGUGGCUUGGUACCUCGGCAAGAAGAUGGCGUACAUCUACAAGGCUAAGGUUAAGAAGAAUGGAUCUCAUUACCGCUGCAUUUGGGGAAAGGUUUGCCGGCCUCACGGUAACAGCGGCCUUGUCCGAGCCAAGAUGAAGUCCAACCUGCCCCCCAAGUCAAUGGUAAUACUAACUGUACUGAUGUUCCUUUAUUUAUUUUUCCUAUUUGGUUUGCUAUUUGUUUUUCUUAAAUGAAUGUUUCUGUAUUUUGAUAUUUCAGGGAUCAAGGGUUCGGGUCUUCAUGUACCCAAGCAAUAUUUAAGGUAUUCUUUAUCCGCUUUUUUGAAAAUUUUCCAAGGUUAUGUUUAUGGUUGCUUUUUGGUGAAAAUUUUGUUACCUAUACUUUUCAGUGAGAUGUUUCUUUUGCGAUAUCUGAAUUAGAGUUUAAUAAUUUGGGUCGUUUACAGGAUGCUCUAACUUGUAGAGUUUGGUAUUUUGAGUAACUUCCAAGGUUGGUCGAUAUUUGGAGUUGAUUUUUUGGGUUGGAGUCUGUAUAUAUAGAUAUGUGGUCGCAAUUUACUUUUGUUCCUCAUAUUGCUUUCAUGAGUGCUUUCCCUUUGACAAUGAUGUGUGCUUGUACUAAUUUUUGAAGCUUUCUUUGUUAGAAUGGUUGUAAGGAGGAGCUGGUCUUUGUGAAGAAUUUGCUUGAAGUUUUACACAUCCGUCUUUAUGCAAUACUAAAAUUUGUAGGCUUAUAGAGCUCAGCUUGAGUAGCGGAUGGUUUUACCAGAUUUCUUGUGUUGGAGUUGAGUUUUACCAGAUUUAUAGUUAUGGCUUAAAUUUUCAGACAUGCAUCAUUUUAGUGAAUGAUGAGGUAAUAUGGAGAAGUUUUUCAUGAGAACAGUUUGUGUGGUUACUGGUGAACAUGACCAAAAAAUGUGGGUGGAGGGAGAGCGAGCAAGAUGCGGAUCUUAAGACUAUACAGAGGAUGUCAAUCAUGCUUAAAAUUGUUUGUGUUGCACAAUUCAUCCAAAAUAUGGCUGUUAGAUAUGCAGAAUUGAUGGAGAUUUGUGUGCACAACAUGUGGGGGGUGAAAGGGACAGAUUUUGUUAAUUUUCAUGAGGGGACUUUGAUUUGUUAAGUAAUAUCCCCUCCACAUUUCAGGAAGCAUGUUAGAAAAGACGGCACUGUGGCUAGUUUCCAAGUAUUUUGAAACUUCCCCAGUGUAAGUUAUCCAAAGUUACUGCAGACACAGUUGAAAGCAAUUUUGUUGAUCGGCACAGAUUUAUCCUAAUUUAAUAUAAUGAGUUAGAUUAGCAUUCAAUAGCUUUAAGUUGACUUCUUUUUGGACACAGUUUGAUGUUCUGCUGUUGGGGCACUGAUGUGUAAUGUUUAGCUUGCGGCGGGUUUCUCAUAUGCAUGUAUGCUACAUUUUCCAUGUUUGACCUGUUCCAUCUGGCUAUGACUAGAAGCUACUCCUGAUUUUUGUGAUCAUUAUCGUUUCUACUGUUUCCAUUCUUAGUGUUGCCAUGAAUUAGGUUUUGUUAAAUUGGUAUGGAGUCGUUUUUGACUAUUUGCUUGGCUACUAGUCAUUUGUUUGGACAUUUACAGUUUUCUUAUGUUGUUGCAGUGUUCCAGCAAAAGUAGGAGCAGACUGCUUGAGGUCAUUGGUGGCUUUAGAAGGUCAUUGGUGAUUGAAGGACGGUAUUUAGAGUCAAAAUAUACCCCUUUUUUUGUGGACUUACCCUGGUCUCUGAAUUUAUCAUGUUUGUUUAAUACUAUGAAUUGAACUUGCAAUCUGAUGAGGCAAAUUUUGAUUGUUUGGAUUUAUCCUUUUUCACUUGGGUGUUUUUGAUCGUUAGUCAACCAGAAUUAUUGUUGAUUCGUCUCUUCAUGAUGUGACUGUGGGUAUUGUUUGAGGUUAGCUUCCUUCUGAUUUUCUCGAUAAUUUGCUGUCGAUCAAAUCAGUUGGGAACGUUCCUACCCGGUUCCUGUUUACAUCUGGGAUGCGAAUCUGUUAUCGAUAGCUCUUCUUCCUCGACUUUUUCCCAAGAAAAUAGUUGAACUGAAGAGACUCUAUAGUGAAUAAUAAGUGCGGCUUCUUAAUUCUUAUACUGGAAGGUAUGUCUGCGUCGGUAGGUGGUUUUUUUUUUUUUUGGCCCGCUUUCGAACUCUUUUACCUCUUUCUUUGGACAAUUUCUUAACAGGUUAAUUACCUUUACCUCCCUCAAAUUUUUUCUGUAUUUCAAUCAGCCCCUUAGGUGUGAUCAAAUUACAAAUUCAUCCCCCCAAGAUCAAAAUUUCAAACUAUCACACCCUUACCAUUUGUACUAUAACGUUGACCACAUAAUCAUGUUUCCACUAAAUGAGCAAAGAUUUAUCGUGAAAGUCCUAAAAUGUCCAUGUAAACCCGAAGUUCUUCUUUUCCUGUGUUUUCAUGCGCAAUUAAGUGGACCUUGGAGAUAAAAAUUAUGGAGGCGCCUCCAAGCCAAGUGCUUCGAUUUGGCAAUAAUACAACAAAAUUUCAAAGAAAUUUCACUAAAAUAGAUCACAAUUCUUCUAGGAAAUAAAGGAAAAUUAAGUUUAUCAAAAUUUGAGAAGCCCAAAGAAUUUGUUCCAAAAUUUUAUGAAAAUAUAAAGGGAAAAAAAAUAAAUGAUUUACAAAAUAAAGGACAAUAAGCUAUUAGUUCUUUGGAGCAAGUCUUAAACGGUACAUGCAAACUAGGGAAUAGGAUAAUCUCAAGGGAAAAAAAAGGAAAAGAGGAAUGAGGUUUAAUAGAUGAUUUUUGUAAUUUCACCGAAACAUGCAUACCCAAGCACUCAAAUUGCCGAUCUACCAUAAUCUUCAUCAUAUCCAUCUCAAACACCAUAAAAUCUUCAGAACAUUUAGGGUGAAUUAAAAAUAAAUUCUAACAGGCUUUCAAAUUUAUCCAAAAUUUAGUUUAUCGUGGUAUGAUUUCUCAAUAUUGUAUGCUUUUUUGGGUUUUGUGUAUUUCAAUGGAGGCUAGAAAAAGACGGGAGGGCAGAAGGUUAGCGGGUGUCUUGGUGAUUGGUGAAGCAUACUUUGCAAUCAGAUUUUGCAGCAUCCCAGACUACAAGGGGUAAGAUCGAGGGGCAUGAAGGUAGGAUCUUGAGAGCUUGGACAAUAUAUCAAGAAUUGUAGGGAUGGAAGAAUUCUUCAGUCUUUCUUUGUUCUUUCUUCCUCAUUGAUUUUUUUCUUCUAGCCCCUGCUUGUUUCUUUGAAGCAAAAUUCUCUGUCUUUGGUUUCUGGUAGCUCAUUUACUAAUUUCAUUUUUGGCAUGUUUUAGAUGACGGUAUUGUUGUACCUUUGUAACAUCCGUUAAUUGGGUUUAAACAGUGUCAUUUGUAUGGGGUGAUUGUUAUUUGAUUAAAACUCAAGGUUUAUUUUGUAGUUUGGCUGAACCUCCGAGGAGUUGUAUGUAAUUAACCCUUCCUUAACCUUAAUCUUUUCUAGUUACUAUUUCGUUUCCUUAAAAAUGAUGUUAAAAAUCAAACUGUCUGCAUUGGCAUCCAAGAAUGUGAGAAUAUGGGGUUAUUUUGAUGGGUAAAAACUCGAGUAAAUUUGGUUUUCAAAAAUUCAAUGAUUCAGACUGCGUCACUUUUCGAAUUAUUUGCAUUCGCAUCAAAGAAUAUGAGAAUGUGGGGUUAUUUUGAUGGGUAAAAGUUGGGAUGAAUUUGGUUUUCAAAUAUUCAAUGAUCAAGAUUGUGUCAUAUUACUUGGUAAGCGAGGUGACACAAUUUAGAUUAUUGAAUUUUUGAAAAUUACAAGUGAUUUAACAUAAUUUAGAUCAUUAAGGGCGUGUUUGGAUCCCUUGUUUUUAAGGCCGUUUUUGAAAAACUAUUUUUCACAUUUCAAAUGUUACAGUAAAUGUAUAUUUCCAAAACAAUUCCAAAAACAACAUAUCCAAACAUUAUAUCAAAAACAACUACAUAUCUAUAUUUCAAUUAUGUAUAUUAUAUAUAUAUAUAUAUAUAUAUUAUAUUAAUAUAAAUUGAAAUAUACAAAUUGAAAAUUAUAUAUAUAUUAUAUAUAAUAUAAAUAUUUAUAUAAAUUAAUAUUAUACAUAAUAUUGUAUAUUAUACAUAAUAUAAUAUAAUAUACAUAAUAUGUAAUAUUGUACACAUAAAUGUGUAAAUAUUUAUACAUAAUAUAUUAUGUACAUUAUAUUAUAAUAUAUACAUUAUUAAUGUAUAAUAUUAUUAUGUACAUUAUUGUGUAUAAUAAUGUUAUGUAUAAUAUAUAAUAUACAUAAUAUGUAAUAAUGUAUAUUAUGUAUAAUAUAUUAUAUUAUGUAUAGUAUACUAUAUAUAUACAAUAUUAUGUAUAUUAUACAAAUUGAAAUUUAUAUAUUAAAUAUUAUAUGCAUAUUUAUAUAAUGAAAUAUACAAUAAACAUUACAAAUUGAAAUAUUAUAUAAACACCAUAUUUAUAAUAUUAUAAUCUUUAUAAUUAAUAUUAAUGUAUAUUAUAUAUAUUAAAUAUUUAUAUAUUUAUUUAUACAUAUUAUAAAUAUUUUUAUAUAUUUAUAUGAGUAUUAUAUAUUAUAUAAAUUAUAUAUAAUAUAACAUAUAUUACAUAUUAUAUAUAUUAUACAUUUAUAUAAAUGUACAUUUAUACAUAAUAUAUAUAUUAAUGUAUAUUUAUAAUAUACAUUUAUAUUAUGUAUUAUAUAUAAUAUAAUACAUUUGUAAUACAUUUAUACAUUUAUAUUAAUAUACAUAAAAUUAAUUUUAUAUUUACAUAAUAUUAAUAUAUUUGUACAUUUAUAUUAAUUAUAUUAAUACAUUUAUACUUAAUAUUAAUAUAUAUUAAUAAAAUUAUAAUUUAUAUAUUUAUAUAAUAUUCAUUUAUAAUUUAUACAUUUAUAAUAAUAUAGACUUAUACGUUUAUAAAUAUAUUUAUAUUAUGUAUUAUAUAUAAUAUAAUACAUUUAUAUAUUUUUAUAUAAAUACAUAAAUAUAUUUAUUUAUAAAUAUUUAUAAAUGUAUUAUAAAUGCAUAAAUAUAUAUUUAUAUAAAAAUAUAAAAUUUAUAAUUUAUAAUUUAUAAUUUAUACAUAUAUAAUAUUCAUUUAUAAUUUAUACAUUUACAAUAAUAUGCACUUAUAUAUUUAUAAAUAUAUUUAUAUUAUUUAUUAUAUAUAAUAUAAUAAAUUUAUAAUAAAUUUAUAUAUUUUUAAAUAUAUUUAUUUAUAAAUAUUUAUAAAUGUAUUAUAAAUGCAUAAAUGUAUAUUUAUAUAAAAAUUAUAAAUUAUAAAUUUUAAUUUAUACAUUUAUAUAAUAUUCAUUUAUAAUUUAUACAUUUAUAAUAAUAUACACUUAUAUAUUUAUAACUAUAUUUAUAUUAUGUAUUAUAUAUAAUAUAAUACAUUUAUAUAUUUUUUAGAGAAUAUAUAAAUAUAUUCAUUUAUAAAUAUUUAUAAAUGUAGUAUAAAUGCAUAAAUGUAUAUAAAAAUUAAAAAUAUAAAUUAUAAAUUAUAAAAAUACCAAAAAAUAUGUUUUAAAAAUACCUCUAAAAAUAAUCCAUAAAACAUAUAUAGUAAAAGUUUUUCAUAUAGUUUUUGAAAAACAACUCCAAAAACAACUAAUCCAAACGGACUUGUAUUUAAAAAACAAAAUGCUACAGUGCUGUUUUUGAAAAACAACCCCAAAAACAGCUAAUCCAAACAGAGCCUAAAUUUUUUAAAAUUGGAUCUACUCAAGUGUAAGUAAUUUUAACAUGGAUCAAUCUUCUUCUUGUGGAACGACUUGCAGGGGUAUCUUGGUUCUUUAUUUUUUCUUCUUUUGGAUAACUGUCAAAUUUUACAUUUCCGACUUUUUUAUUGUGCUUAAUGUUGGCCUAAUCAGCAACAUCCCUCAGAUCCCGGCUCGAAGGGACUAACCGCCCAGCCCGUGGCACCCAGGGGUGCAGCCCCUCAUGCUGGCCGAGCGUGGUACGGUGCUUUGCGCUGCCAUUGUGGUUAAGGAAAUAAAGUUGCGCCUUCGCUAACAGCUAUAACUUUUGGUGCAAUGGUAAGCGCUUGAUCCUGACACUUAAGUUGUCCAUUUAUCCUUGGAUCAUUUUGCUUACGGAGCAUUGGCCGUCCCCAAGAAAAAGUCCAGCACCUCGAGAACUUGGAACAGCAAAAUCCCGAUGGGGCGUGCAGAAUGGUAGGCCUUUGAUGGAUGAAGGCCCGUCAUCCCCAACUAGGGCUGCAAACGAAUCGAGCCGCUCGCGAGCGGUUCGAGUCAGUCAAACUCGAGCUCGAACUCGAGCUAAGAAUAUUAAACUCGUUAGCUCGCGAGCCGGCUCGCGAAUUUGAGUAUAUAUAUAUAAAUAUAUAUAUUAUUUUUAUUUUUAUUUAAUGAGUAUAUAUAUAUAUUAUUUUUAUUUUUAUUUAAUAAUAAAAUUAUGUAUAUUACAUAUAUAUUUUUUAUUUUUUAUUUUUAUAGUAAAAUUACGUAUAUAUCCUUAAUAUUUUAUUAUUUAUUCAGAAAAAAAUAUUAUUUUAUUUAUUUUUUAAAAAAUAAAAUAUUUAUUUUUUAUUUUUUUCGAGCUCGACUCGAAUCACUUGAACUCGAGCUCGAAAAUUGCCGGCUCGUCGAGUUUGAGCUUGAUAAAAUUUAGUCGAGUCUCGGCUCAAUUAGCUCAAAACUCGACUCGACUCGACUCGUUUACAACCCUAUCCCCAGCACACCAAAAAAAGAAAAAAAAAAGAAAAGAAAAGAGCAACAAAUGAUUUGAAGAGAAAAGUGAGGUAAGGAAGCGCGUUAAAAGUGACAUUGUGAAAGAGGAAGCGUUACCAAUUUGUUUCGGGCCAGAUUUUAAUACCAGUAUGAGCCCUUUAUGUGUUACUCUGUUUAUCCCGUCGCGUUCUGAUGUUUGUUGGAGUAAAAUGAAAUUUGGUUCACAAAGAAUCAAGCAGCCACGACACAUUUUACUAUUUGAGCCGGUUGCUGUUACUUACACACAUUAUCAAAUACCAAAACCAAAAAAUAAAAAAGGAAAAAAAUGUGAUUUGAUAGUGAUUUUCUAUCAUAACCAUCCCCAUUUAUUUGAUUGAGUGACGUAUUUUUGAUUUUAUGUUUUAACUGGCUAGUUUUUCGAUUAAUUUUUGCAAAAAAAAAAAAAGACAUUUGGGAUUUUGCGCGAGGUCUCUUUCUUGCCAUAGGAGCUAAGCUAUACUAGGUAGGUUAUCUUUAUAUUUUUUAUAACAAUAUUAAUAUAACUAUUAUUAUUAUUAGUAGAGAAGAUGUGUGAUUUUAAAUUCUAGCCUCUGAACCUUAAUCACUUUGAAUCAAAAGGACAUCUGAAUCAUGACCUCUUAUCCUUAACCCCCUAGACCAAGGAGUUUGAACUCUAGUUUUGAUAUAAAUUUUUGUUUGUUGUACCCCUAUAUUUUACCUUGAAAAUUCAUUGGCAAAUUAUAUUGAUUUUGUUAUCUAACAAAGUUGCCUUUACACUUGCAACGAAGAACCAAAUUUAAUUCUCUCACUAGAAGUUUAAGGGCAUGUUGUUAUAAUAUAACCAUCAUAAAAAUUGUAACUAACAAAAUAAUUGUAAUUUGAUAGAAACAAAUUUUACAAGAUCAUAGUUUUGCCUCUUUUGUUAAAUCAAUUAUAAAAGGACAUUAUUUAUACGCAUAGUAGGUAAGCCCUUAACAAUAUUCCAAGUAAACUGAAAAAAAGGUGAAAGCGUCGUCUUGAAAUAAUGUUAAGCAUAAACAUGAUAGUUUACUAAGAAUCAACUGAUUAAAUUAACAUGAUUUGCUAAUGAAUGUAAUGUUGCUCACGUUUUAAAAAGAACAAACAGGGUUGCUGGUUGAUAUUUUCUUAUCAUUAAUAUUUAAUACCAAAUAUUUAGAAGCCUUUAUUCCUCAAAAUAAUAACAUCUGCAAUUAGGGGUGGGCACGGGUUGGAUACCCGUCCCUAACAUGAUUUGGCUAACCCGGCCUUAAUAUAUCGGAUCAGUCAUUUUGCGACUCUAACCUGCUCUUAAUGUUUUCGGGUACCCGAAUAGCAGGUAUCCCAAAAAAAGGGGACGGGUCAUAGGGUACCCGCCUCUAAAAAAAACUAUUUUCCAAUAAAAAAAUUUAUUUUUCACUUAAUAUCAACAUGUUUUUCAAUAAAGUUUAUAUAUCACCAUUCUCACACAUUUCAUCCAACAAUCAAAUCGAUCUAUAUAUCACUAACAUGAUUUGUUCUUUUUAAAACGUGAGAAACAUUACAAUCAUUAGCAAAAUUAUGUUAAUUUAAUUAGUUGUUUCUUAUUAAACUAUCAUGUUUGCACUUAACAUUAUUUCAAGAUGACGCUUUUACCUUUUUUCAGUUUACUUAGAAUAUUGUUAAGGGCUUACAUACUAUGCGUAUAAAUACCUUUUAUAAUUGAUUUAACAAAAGAGGCAAAACUAUGAUCUUGUAAAAUAACAUCUGCAAUAGCUAAUAAACAAUUUUUUAUUCCACAAAGCAUGUGAUUUUGAUAGUUUAGGAUUUUUUUUUUUGUCAAUCGUCAUUUCUACUCUUACUCUAUCAUAAUUUAUUUAUAUGGAAGGUUUAACUGGGCAUAUGAAGGACCGAUAGGAACAGAAUCGCCACCGGAUCGGAUGCUCUCAAUUUAAAGAAUCACAUGAUGUGGUAAUAAGUGGAAGUCAACUUCUAACCCUUGCCCAAUAUAAAUCGGAAAAUGAAAUGGCACCAGAAAACAAAUGAAUUUGGAAUGAAGACCUCUUGUACCCCUAUAUGGUAAGUUUCACCGCAACUCUUCUCGGACACCUCCAUAACUAGCUACAAGCAGCCCGAUCCCCCAGUCCCCGCCGCCCCUCACCACCCAUCAGAAAAUGGUUAAGGGAAGCCAAGGAGAGCGCGUCAGGUCAUCUAAUUUUCCGUCUCCCAUCUCCAUUUUCCCCUUAUUCCGUAAUUUCACUGAAUUUGAUUUUUCUCCCGAUUUUUUGGGUUUAACCCUGCAGGCUUUACGUGAGAGGAACUAUAUUGGGGUACAAGAGGUCGCAGUCCAACCAGUACCCGAACACUUCGUUGAUUCAGAUCGAAGGAGUGAACGCAAAGGAGGAGGUGGCUUGGUACCUCGGCAAGAAGAUGGCGUACAUCUACAAGGCUAAGGUUAAGAAGAAUGGGGGUUGGACUUGAACUUAGCUCGAACAACGCCGCCGUUACCGUGCUAAGUUCAAGUCGUGAGUAACAGCGGCGUGGUCCGAGCUAAGUUCAAGUCUGCCCCCCAAGUCAGUGAGCGGCGUCGUCCGAGCUAAGAGGUAAUAUUAACUGUACUGCUGUUCCUUUAUUUAUCAUUCCUAUUUGGUUUGCUAUUUCUUUUUCUUAAAUGAAUGUUUCUGUAUUCUGAUAUUUCAGGGAUCAAGGGUUCAGGUCUGUUAGAUUUAGUCAAUAUUAGCCAGUAAAUAAAAUCCCAUUGCAUUUGGGAUUCUUUGCUUUAGAAUAGGUCUUUCAGUUUAGGAGUUAGUUAGCAGGAGACUCCUUAUUUAUUGUAUUUUCUGUUUGUUUUGUACGGCUAUAUAUAGCCUAAAUAUUUCUCGUUCAAUCACAGAGAAUUCCUUCCACAUUUUUUCUUUCCUCUGCAAUACUCUUUCCUGUUAACCUUACAUCUGGUAUCAGAGCCUCGCAAGAGGCUCUAUACGUAGAAGCAGCAGUCUUCUAAGGGAGUGCAGGCCACGAAAAUGGCAACAGAGAGUGCCUUUAUUCAACCAGCAGUGCCGAGGUUCGAUGGUCACUACGAUCAUUGGGCAAUGCUCAUGGAAAAUUUUCUUCGAUCAAAGGAGUACUGGAAUGUGGUAGAAAAUGGAGUUUUUGCAGCAGCAAAGGGUGUGACUUUAACUGAGGCACAAAAGAAAAUUUGUGAAGAGCAGACGUUGAAGGAUCUCAAAGCUAACAACUAUCUGUUUCAGGCAUUAGAUCGUUCCAUUUUGGAGACUAUCGUCAACAAAGAUACGUCAAAGAGUAUCUGGGACUCUAUGAAGCAAAAAUAUCAAGGAACAACGCGAGUAAAACGUGCGCAUCUACAGGCAUUGCGAAAGGAGUAUGAAAUUGCUCACAUGAAGGAAGGAGAAUCUGUGAAUGAGUACAUUGCUCGUGUUCUUGUCAUCACCAACAAGAUGAAAGCCAAUGGCGAAGAAUUGAAAGAUGUUGCUGUUGUGGAAAAGAUUCUGAGGUCAACGACACCUAAGUUUAAUUAUGUCGUCUGUUCAAUUGAAGAAUCUAAUGAUACAAGUAUUUUGUCAAUUGAUGAGCUGCAAAGCAGUUUGCUCGUGCACGAACAACGCAUGAGCAACACUGUACAUGAAGAACAUGCACUGAAGGUGACCCAUGGAAACCAAUAUGCAGGACAAGGAAGAGGACGUGGGAGCUUUAGAGGCAGAGGCCGUGGAAGAAACAGACAAAGCUUUGACAAAGCAACUGUGGAGUGUUAUGCUUGUCACAAGCUUGGUCAUUUUCAGUGGGAAUGCAAGAAAGGAGUGGCCAAUUUUGCAGAGAGUCAAGUGGAGAGUGAAGAACACAUGCUGCUGAUGGCUUAUGUUGAAGAAAAGAAGCAACACAAAACAGACUUGUGGUUUCUUGACUCUGGGUGCAGCAAUCACAUGAGUGGAAAAAGAGAAUAUUUUUCCGAUUUUGAUGAAAAAUUCACAGAUUCAGUGAAGCUGGGAAAUAAUUCAAACAUGGUGGUCAAUGAGAAGGGCAACAUCAGGUUGGAGAUUGAUGGAGUUGUUAGCAUCAUCUCAGGAGUCUUUUAUGUUCCGGAAUUGAAGAAUAAUCUGCUGAGUCUAGGACAAUUGCAAGAGAAAGGACUGAGCAUUUUAUUCCAACAAGGGCAAUGCAAAAUAUAUCACCCUGACAAAGGUUUGAUCAUGAAAGCUAAUAUGUCUGCAAAUCGAAUGUUCAUCUUGCAUGCCAUCUCCUUGCCUAUAGCACCCACCUGUUUUAACAUAGUCACAGAAGAUGUAGCGCAGUUGUGGCAUUGCAGGUUUGGGCAUUUAAGCUUCAGAGGCUUAUAAAUCUUGCAGCAAAAACAAAUGGUGGAAGGUCUACCAUUACUCAAGCCACCCUCGAAGCUGUGCAAAGAUUGUCUUGUGGGGAAGCAACAUCGAGAUUCAUUUCCAAUGAAAAGUUCUUGGAGAGCAUCUCAGAUUCUGCAGCUAGUUCAUGCCGACAUUUGCGGACCAAUUAAGCCAGCCUCGAAUAGCAAGAAAAGGUACUUGAUUACUUUUAUUGAUGAUUUUAGUCGAAAAACAUGGGUGUAUUUUUUGACAGAAAAAUCAGAAGCUUUUAACAUCUUUAAGAGUUUCAAGAUACAUGUUGAGAAAGCAACAGAUAUGUCACUAAAAAUGUUGCGUACGGAUCGUGGUGGAGAGUUUACAUCUCGAGAAUUCAACAAUUUCUGCAAGGAACAUGGAGUGCAAAGAUAAUUGACAGCUGCAUAUUCACCACAACAAAAUGGCGUUGCAGAACGGAAGAAUCGGACUAUCAUGAAUUUGGUUCGUAGCAUGCUAUCUGGAAAGAAAGUGCCUAAAACUUUCUGGCCAGAAGCAGUAAAUUGGGCUGUGCACGUUUUAAAUCGUAGUCCAACGCUGGCUGUAAAAGACAAAACACCAGAAGAAGCCUGGAGCGGAAUCAUGUCGUCAGUUCAACAUUUCAGAAUUUUUGGUUGUCUCCUAUGCUCACGUGCCUGACAGCUCGAGAACUAAACUAGAUGAGAAAAGCUUGAAAUGUGUUUUACUGGGAGUUAGCGAGGAAUCAAAAGCGUACAGGCUCUACGAUCCUAUCUCACAAAGGAUUAUGGUGAGCAGAGAUGUAGUUUUUGAAGAAUGUGAAGAAUGGAAAUGAGAUAAGCAACAUGAAUUAGUCGUUACUUGGGAGCUGGAAUGGGAAGAUGAUGAAAAGGCAGUGACUGAAGAAUCUCUUAUAGAAGAAGAUGCUGCCAACACACGAUCAGAGGAGUCUCUUACCACUAAUCAAGAAACUCUUCCAGAUCCCGUGGAAGGGAGGAGUAGGAAGCAACCAACUUGGUUGAAAGACUAUGUUUCAGGUGAAGGUUUGUCUGAUGAAGAGGCAGCAUUUUUUGCCUCAUAUACAGCGGCUGCCGAUCCACUUAAUUAUGAAGAAGCAGUGAAGAAUGAAAAAUGGAGAAAUGCCAUGGAUGCCGAGAUUGCAGCCAUUGAGAAAAAUGGUACAUGGGAACUAAUCGAUCGACCAAAAGGAGUCAAAAUAGUUGGAGUCAAGUGGGUUUACAAAACGAAACUUAAUGAGAAGGGAGAAGUCGACAAGUUUAAAGCGAGGCUGGUUGUAAAAGGAUAUGCACAGCAAUAUGGUAUAGAUUACACAGAAGUGUUUGCUCCAGUGGCCCGUAUGGAGACUGUUCGAUUGGUGAUCGCUCUAGCAGCACAAAAAGGGUGGGCUAUCCAUCAAUUAGAUGUGAAGUCUGCCUUUUUACAUGGAGAACUAGUUGAAGAUGUUUUUGUUGAGCAACCGUGUGGUUACAUUCAAGAGGGAAAGGAGAAAAAGGUGUACAAGCUGAAGAAAGCUUUGUAUGGGCUUAAACAGGCUCCGCGUGCUUGGUACAGCCGUAUUGAAACAUAUUUCAUGAAGGAAGGUUUUCAAAAAUGUGAUUAUGAGCAUACCCUUUUUGUUAAACGAAACAUGGAGGGCAGCAUGCUUAUUGUAAGUAUAUAUGUUGACGAUCUUCUUUUCACAGGAAAUGAUGGUUUGAUGUUUACUGAGUUUAAGAACUCGAUGAAGAAUGAGUUUGAUAUGACUGAUCUUGGUAAAAUGAAAUAUUUCUUCGGUCUCGAAGUCUUGCAGAAAUCAGGUGGAAUUUUUAUAACUCAAAGAAAGUAUGCUCAGGAGGUGUUGCAACGUUUUGAAAUGAACCAAAGCAAUUCUGUUCAAACUCCAAUGGUUCCUGGUUUCAAGCUUUGCAAGGAUGAAGAAGGAAUUAAGGUGGACAAGACUCACUUCAAACAAUUGGUAGGCUGUCUUAUGUAUCUGACUGCGACUCGUCCAGAUGUGAUGUUUGCAGUAAGUCUUUUGAGCAAAUAUAUGGAGAAUCCUACUCAGCUUCAUUUACAACUAGCAAAGAGAGUGUUGAGAUAUUUGCAAGGAACAACUGAGUAUGGAAUUUUCUAUAAGAAGGGAGGAAAUGAUGAUUUUUUAGCAUACACUGAUAGUGAUUAUGCGGGUGACUUGGAUGAUAGAAGAAGUACAUCAGGCUAUGUUUUUCUCUUCGGUUCUGGUGCUGUAUCAUGAUCUUCUAAGAAACAACCUAUUGUGAGUCUGUCUACCACCGAAGCUGAAUUUAUUGCUGCUGCUGCUUGUGCUUGUCAAGCAAUUUGGUUAAAAAGAGUGCUCAAAACGCUGGAUCAGACUCAACAAGAGAAAAAUACUAUCCAUUGUGACAAUAGCUCUGCAAUCGAGCUCUCAAGAAACCCAGUUUUGCAUGGUCGUAGUAAGCAUAUAGAUGUUCGUUUCCAUUUCCUUCGAGAACUUGCACAGACAGGUAUGAUAGAGUUAGUUCAUUGCAAUACUUUGGAACAAAUAGCUGAUGUGAUGACAAAGCCUCUUAAGUUGGAUGUUUUUCUGAAGCUGCGUACUAUGCUUGGAGUUUGUGCAGAGAGCAGUAUAAACUAAAUUCGUUCAGCAUUUAGUUUAAGGGAGGAAUUGUUAGAUUUAGUCAAUAUUAGCCAGUAAAUAAAAUCCCAUUGCAUUUGGGAUUCUUUGCUUUAGAAUAGGUCUUUCGGUUUAGGAGUUAGUUAGCAAGAGACUCCUUAUUUAUUGUAUUUUCUGUUUGUUUUGUACGGCUAUAUAUAGCCUAAAUAUUUCUCGUUCAAUCACGGAGAAUUCCUUCCACCUUUUUUCUUUCCUCUGCAAUACUCUUUCCUGUUAACCUUAUAGGGUCUUCAUGUACCCAAUCAAUAUUUAAUGUAUUCUUUAUCCGCUUUUUUAAAAAUUUUCCAAGGUUAUGUUUAUGGUUGCUUUUUGGUGAAAAAUUUGUUACCUAUACUUUCAGUGAGAUGUUUCUUUUGCAAUAUCUGAAUUAGAGUUUAAUAAUUUGGGUCAUUUACGGGGAUGCUCUGACUUUCAGUGAGAUGUUUCUUUUGCAAUAUCUGAAUUAGAGUUUAAAUAUGAAAUUUUGACUCGCCACUUUUAAGAUCAACAAUUGAAUUAAUUGGUUUGUGAUUGUUUUAAAAUUUGAAAGUGUCAAUCGCUUACUUCUUUUGUCAUACUUUUCCUUCGUUUCUUUUUUCUGUUCAAAUUUAAUUCAAUAUAAACACUUGAUAAUAUUUAGAAUUAAAUGUUUUCUUUGUUUUCAAUUUUUGAAUAAAAGUAAAAUGAACAUGAGUAGAAAAUUAACAUUCUUUAAAACUCCUUUAUAUAUCUAUUUAAUUUUACUUGAAUAUUACAUUCAGACGAAAUCAAAUAAAGACAUAUUAUAUGCUAUUUAUAUUGUUCAUGUGAAAUUAAAUAGACAUAUAUACAUGAGUUACUUUUUAAAGUUAUUUGCAUAUAUGAUCAAUGAUGGAUAAAAAAAUUUAAUUUAUAAAAUAUGAGGGUCGAAACAAUUCAUUUUGUGAAAUGUGAAAUAUUAUCAAUCAGAUUAUGUAAAUUUUGAUUUGCUAAUUUUGUCCUUAAAAAUGAUCACGUGCAAAAGCACGUGGUGGAUUCCAAUAAAAAAACUAGAUGCAAAUUUAGGUAGAGAUGAAAUUUGACAAAUAUGAAUUUAUAAGGGACGUAAAAAUACACUUUUAAAAGUGAGAAAAAAAAAUUCAUUUUGCAAACAAUAAGGGGUGUUUUGAACGAUUUUUCCUAAAAAAAAAUAUAAAAUAUGCUAUGUUUUAUUGAUUUAUUUCUUUAAUUUACGGGUCUAUUAUUUCACAUGUUUUACAAGAAAUUUUCAUCAUCUGUAAUUAAAAAAAAAAUCAAAUCUCAAGCAACGUUUGGAUUAAUAAAAGGGUGCAAUUUUAAAGGAAAAGCAAAUAAAUCAAAGCAGAAAAAAAAUUGUCUAACCAUUUUGUUUGCGUUACUUAUACAAAAAAAAAAAAAGAAAAGAAACACCGAAUAUUCUGAAAAAGAAAGGAAAGAAUAGAUUAUGUAUAGUUGCAUUUUAGCUGUAACUGAAUAAAAUCUAAUUGUAAACAUACUUUAAUACUUUAUUUAUUUUUUGUGUAUUUUCACAUUCAUCUUGUUAUUGCUAUAAUAAAUUUAUGAAAUAAUAAUAUUUAGAUGAAAAUUUUAAUAUUUUUUUAAGAGAAAGAAAUUACAAGAAGUAUUAAAAUAUAAAAAAUUUUAAAAUGUUAACAAUCAUCGCUACGAAAUUUAGUAUUCAAGAUUUUCAAUUUUUUCAUGUUCAAAAUCAUGGUUAAUUUAGUACAAAUGACUAAAUUGUUUCUGUCCAUGUAAAUACGUAAUACUUCUUAAGUUGCAAGCAUAGUAAAGUUAUUUGAUCAUUCAUGAGACAAGUGUUGGGCCCAAAUGACUUACAGGGAAAACAAGUGCUAUUUUCAAAUAUUCCGGGGAGGGUAGCGAAAUUGAUAGAAAUCUAAAGGGGGCUUUCUGAAAUAAUACCUAUCAUCAACACAUAUAACCAUCAUUGACUCACCUAGGGUUUUAACGCAACUGUUCUGGGACUCCUCCAUCACCCAUUCCCCGCCGCCCCUCAUCACCCAUCAGAAAAUGGUUAAGGGACGCCAAGGAGAGCGCGUCAGGUCAUCUAAUUUUCCGACUCCAUCUCCAUUUUCCCCUUAUUCCGUAAUUUCACUGAAUUUGAUUUUUCUCCCGACUUUUUGGGUUUAACCCCUGCAGGCUUUACGUGAGAGGAACUAUAUUGGGGUACAAGAGGUCGCAGUCCAACCAGUACCCGAACACUUCGUUGAUUCAGAUCGAAGGAGUGAACGCAAAGGAGGAGGUGGCUUGGUACCUCGGCAAGAAGAUGGCGUACAUCUACAAGGCUAAGGUUAAGAAGAAUGGGUGCAGGUUGGACUUGAACUUAGCUCUGACGACGCCGCUGUUACGGUGAAGAAUGGGUGUAGGUUGGACUUGAACUUAGCCCUGAUAACGCCGCUGUUACCGUUAGGUAAGAGCGGCGUUGUCAGGGCUAGGUUCAAGUCUGCCCCCCAAGUCAGUGAGCGGCGUCGUCCGAGCUAAGAGGUAAUAUUAACUGUACUGCUGUUCCUUUAUUUAUCAUUCCUAUUUGGUUUGCUAUUUCUUUUUCUUAAAUGAAUGUUUCUGUAUCCUGAUAUUUCAGGGAUCAAGGGUUCGGGUCUUCAUGUACCCAAGCAAUAUUUAACGUAUUCUUUAUCCGCUUUUUUGAAAAUUUUCCAAGGUUAUGUUUAUGGUUGCUUUUUGGUGAAAAAUUUGUUACCUAUACUUUCAGUGAGAUGUUUCUUUUGCAAUAUCUGAAUUAGAGUUUAAUAAUUUGGGUCAUUUACGGGGAUGCUCUGACUUGUAGAGUUUGGUAAACUGACCAAUUGGUUAGAUUAUGAGUAACUUCAAGGUUGGUCGAUAUUUGGAGUUGAUUUUUUGGGUUGGAGUCUGUAUAUAGGUAUGUGGUCGCAAUUUACUUUUGUUCCUCAUAUUGCUUUCAUAAGCGGUUUCCCUUUGACAAUGACGUGUGCUUGUACUAAUUUUUGAAGCUUUCUUUGUUAGAAUGGUUGUAAGAAGGAGCUGGUUUUUGUGAAGACUUUGCUUGAAGUUUUACACAUCCGUCUUUAUGCAAUACUAAAAUUUGUAGGCUAUAGAGCUCAGCUUGAGUAGCGGAUGGUUUUACCAGAUUUCUUGUGUUGGAUUUUAGUUUUACCAGAUUUAUAGUUAUGGCUUAAAUUUUCAGACAUGCAUCAUUUUAGUGAAUGAUGAGGUAACAUGGAGAAGUUUUUCAUGAGAACAGUUUGUGUGGUUACUGAUGAACAUGACCAAAAAAUGUGGGUUGAGAGAGAGCGAGCAAGAUGCGGAUCUGAAGACAAUACAGAGGAUGUCAAUCAUGCUUAAAAUUGUCUGUGUUACACAAUUCAUCCAAAAUAUGGCUGUUAGAUAUGCAGAAUUGAUGGAGACUUGUGUGCACAACAUGUGGGGGGUAAAAGGUACAGAUUUUGUUAAUUUUCACAAGUAAUAUCCCCUCCACAUUUCAGGAAGCAUGUUAGAAAAGAUGGCACUGUGGCUAGUUUCCAAGUAUUUUGAAACUUCCCCAGUAUAAGUUAUCCAAAGUUACUCAGACACAGUUACUGCGCACUCAUUUUUUAAAAAAUUAUUCCAAAUAAUCUUCAAUCCGGAGGCAUUUCAAAGUAACUUAGCCGGUUCAAUUAAACUGGUAUACUUGGAGGAGGCAUGCACGCAGAACUGAGCCGGUCCACCCUCACCAGGUCGACGCUAGGAAAGCCGCUUCAUGAAAAGGUUCUUCUUUCUCUGCACAUAAAACCUCCUCACCAUUUGCAGUUGAGGUGGGAAAAUAACUAGGGUUCACCUGCCACAUCUGCAGUAAUUACCCCCAAAAAAGAAAAGGAAAGAAAAAUGCCAUUCAUAUAGAAGAUAGAGAGACAGACGGAUUACAGCCAGUUCGAUUCAACUCUCCCCAUCGUCAUCGACAAUGGCGGUUCGUAUUUCCGCAUUGGGUAACAAAAGCCCUGAUUCUUUGGUUCGCUUAGAUUAAUUUGCUUUGUGAAGUUGUGUUUUGAUAAAAUUCCCGAUAAAUCACACCCUUCAAUUAUGAUUUGGUCUUGUGAUAGCUGGGCAGGGGAGGAUGAGCCUCGGGUUAUAUUCCGGAAAAUUUUAGGCCUCGUCAUAAAACCACUGGUAUCUCUUGAUAUACAUAUGUUCACAUAUAUUUGUAAUUUUCACUAGUGUAAUUUUUUCGGCAUUAUGCCAAUGUUAAUCUCUCUGCCUGUGAAGUUGGAUUUGAACUGAAUAUACCAUUGUGCUAGAUUUUUCCCCAAUCUUCUUCUUCUUCUUCUUUUUUCCUAUUUGAGCAUGGCAUGAAUGAUGGAAAACUUGUUUUUAACCGGUAGGCUGGAUAUCACUUGUAUAUACUGGCUCAACAUAAGCAAAAAUUCAUGGGUCAUGUGCUUGCCAAAUUUCUUUUACCAAAGAUUUGAUUUUUGAUGAAGAUGAAUAAGCUUCAAAUGUCUUCCACCCUCAAUUUUUGGUGCUUUCCUGUAAUUGAAUUCUUUUAUUUAUUAUUAUUAUUAUUAUUCAAAUAAUUGCAUGCUAGGUCAGUAUAUCUGCUUCUUUGUUUUUGCUGGAGCACUAGAUUGAGUGUAAUUAAUACAGUCAAAUGAUUUAUGUAUUUACAUUUGUGGCCUUUCCUGUUCCACUCAACCUAUAAUUUAUGAUUUGAAUGGAAAGAACAAAACCUCUGCAUUCACAUGUUUUAGAUUGCAGAGGUUUUGGACUCAUGGGUUCAAAAUGGUAGCUUCACAUGUUUGAAUCUACACGUAGUUCCGAACUUCGACUUUUAUAAUUUGAUUUUACAUCAAUUAAAAGUUUUUUCUGCAUUCUUUCUAAUGCACGUGAAACAGUCACAGUUGUUGGUGAUCAUAACCCAACGCUGCUAAGAUAUUUUGAUUGCACAUGUUCAGGACCUCGUUCAUCUUUUGAUGGCAAUGUCGUUUAUCAGUUUGAGAUAAUGGAAUAUAUAAGUUUCAUUAAUUUUGAGUAGUAACUGGGUUUCAAGUUACCUUGCUGAAACUUUUCACUCUAUAUUCUCCAAUGAAUACUCUUUACUAUAGAAUGGUGAUCAAUUUGUUUCAUAAUUCUAAUAGGAUAUAAAGCACACCCUCUGUGUCCAUAUGCGUCACACAGCAGUUACUUUUACCCUGUCAAUAGUGAGAUACUAAAAGUCGGUAAUUUGUUAGACUCCUAAGAAGUAUGUGUUAUGUGUUACAUAUUGAUAACUUGCUUUCUCAAUCUGCAUCACAAAACUUAUAUCUGUCAUUUUGUAGAAAUGUUCUCAGUGAAUUACCAUCUUGAUUUUAUGAGUAUUUACUAGCCAUAUGCCAAUCUUUGGAGUUUGUUAAGAAUAUAAAAGCCCCAAAUCAUUCUAGCCUUUACUGCUUUACAUAAUAUUACCUGAGGUCACAUAAGCAGUAUGUUUGAUAUUCAAGCAGUUUCCUCCGAAAUCCACCUUACUGUUUAUACAAGUCUGAACUGACUAAUUAACGCCUAAACGCUUAGCUUCAGUCAUAGCAAUUGUAUAUCUUACAAACCGUAAAGUUUAACAUAACAAAGAAACUCUGAUUGGGGGCUGUAGAUGAAUGUAGAAUAAGGCAGAAUACAUGACACAUAAUGUAAUUUUCCUUUUCUUUUUUCAGCUUUUCGUUAAUCCAAAUGUUUGGAUAUCUUAAUAUGUUCCAUCGUUUUAUCCAGGCGUGUGUUUUCGUGCACCCAUUUGGUCCGGUAGUGGUUCAGUCCCCUCCGUGUUACCCCAGAACCUCCUUAGGUUCGCCCCCUCCCCCUUAGUGUAGGAUAGAUUAGAUUAUACAACAGUUGUUGUCUUUGAAAAAAAAAUAACAAUAUGUUCCAUCAAGUUACCUUCAACAUGUUUGUAUGAUGCUAUUUUGCAUUGAUUGGAAACUGAAACAUUUCCGUUUGUUACAUCUACUUUAUGUUCACAGAUCAAGUUGCUGAGUUGUGUGUUUUUUCUUGCAUGUAUAGAUUCUUGACUUCGGUUUUGAUCGAUUAGGUGCUGAUCAGUCGCAGGUACUGCUACAUCACCUUUCAAUUCUUUACUCGGCUAUAUCAAAGUUCUUUUUGGUGUGAUCUGAUGUAAAAUGCAAUGUGAGAUUUAUCAAUUCGGAAGUUGCUGGUUUUUCUUACUGUCAUCAUAUUUUAUGUGAUUAUCCGGUUUUGCUUGCAAAGCUAUAUAUGUUGUAUAGCGUGAAUAGAUAGUAGAUUUAUUCCUGGAGAUCUGUUUGUCAUUGCAUCCACCCCCCCUAGUUUUACUUAUUAAACUUUUGUGACAUUUCGUGCAGACCUAAUGUUUCGUGUUGACUUUUUGUGUCAUAAGCAGAGAUUCUGAUUUGCACUUUAUAUAUAACUGAGGUAAAUACUGUGGGCUCAAAGCAUUGAAUGUCUUCAUUGAUCUCCUUAAAGAAUUUACAAGCUUUCUUUGCAGGCAAUGGUUGACAUCCCAAAAAUGUUGUGGUUUAGAAUAAGCUUUUUAUGUCAAUUUGAUUCAUUUCUUCAUGUUUAUUUUUGUGCAGCUUGUAGAUGUCUGACUUCAUUUGUGUUUUUUGCAAUAUUUAUCGCUUCAUAUUUGAUUCCUGAAUUUCUUGAUUUUAGAUAUCAGCGUUGGAAAUAUUCAUGUAGUUGAUUUGAUGGCAGAACGGAUUGACCAUCCUGUUUUGAUCACCGAGUGUGCUAUCCAGUCUCGUUGUAGAAUGGCAGAACUUCUUUUUGAGUCUUAUGGAGUUCCUUGAAUAGGUAUGCUUGCCAGUUGUUAGUUAACUGAAGCUUCUGCUUGUUUGGGCAAAUAUUUUAGUUACGGUGAAACAGGGAUGCAAACUCUUAAUAUUAUUGUCAACUGCAUGUUUUAUCUUUGUAUGGAUGUAGCAUGAUUGACACACGAUGGUCACAGCGUAUUGUACUUGUAUUUCUCGUUUUAUAUGGUCCGAUGCCAUGAGUGCUUGGACUGUUGCUAUUUUAAUGUAUCACUUACUUUUUACUUUCCCUUUAGCAGCAUUUGGUGUGGAUGCCACAUUCAGCUACAAGUACAACCAACAACUUGGAAUAUGUAAUAGUGAUGGUCUUGCAAUUUGCUCAGGAUUUAUGACUAGUGAUGCUGUUUGGGUAUGCUUCACUUGUUUUUACUGAAGUUCAUAGGGAUUUUGUGGAUAAUUCCAAUUUCAUGGAGCAGUGAGUACAGAAACAUAUCCAUCACAAAUCUCAACUAUGCGUCACUGCCGCAAUUCUUUUGCUGUUCCAUUAAAGGUUAGGUUAGUUUAUUCUGAAGUUCAGUGCCCAUACCAAGUCACUAUCUUGAUCUGGUGCCACUGAGUCUACUAUUGGUAUCAAGUAUGAAAAGACCUACAUUGAAUAGAUUAUAUUCUUCCAGAAGAAACAUGUUGUUCAUGUAGGGUACACCCAUCCUUAAUAAUUUCAUGAAUUUUGCCAUUAACUUUUUGUAGGUCAACACAAAUAUGCUUUGCCUAUGACCUAUUAAAGAAUUAGUUAUCUAUCUGUAUUUGCCGCAUUAUUCGUUGGAUAUGCACAACCUGUAGGCCUGUCCUACAAACCAGCCAAACACCUAAGCUUGAGCUUGGCAUCAUGGAUUCAGCCAAGUACAGCAUCAUGUAGUUCGCAGGUUGCUCAUAGGAGGAUGCCGAAAUUUUACUUUUAAUGGGCAACCUAUAAUUGACUUGUGAUAAAUAUUCUCAAACUAUACGGGGGCAAUACUUUAAUUUUGUAAAGGAGUAUUUUGAAGAAUUCCAAAUUUUCAAGGGGUGGAAAGGUAAUAUCUUGGAUAAGUAGGGUGGGGGUGGUCCCCUACACCCCUGCAACCAAAGGUCUGGGAUGGAUUGCUGGAGAUUAUUGGUGGUGCAAGGUUUGCAGAGUUUGGUGUUUGGCAUAUGUAGCGCCUUGAAUAUAAUAUUUUAGCUCAAGAUGCUUCUUUGAGGCUCAAGCUAGAAGAAAAUGAAUCACUGAGCUAAGAACCAAAUUGAGCAGCUUCCUUCUCACUGGGGACUAGGAAUGUUUGAUAGCUGAGCAAUGGUUUACUGUGGGCAAUUAAGAAGCCAGAAUAACAAAGUGAAACAUUAACACCUGCAUGUAAUACCAGUUAAUGUAUUCAGUCUCUGAUACUUAUCCUAGUGUUAUAUGAAGUACUGCACCUUAACAACUUGCAAUGGUCUACAAUGUAUAUGUGUAAGUUUGAAUUCUUAUCCAUUUUUCCUAUCACAGUUCAUAAAUGGAGAACCUGCUUACGAAGCAUGUUGCCGAACUAGUGUUGGUGGAUACCAUGUUACCGAUUAUCUGAAGCAGCUUCUUUCACUUAAAUAUCCCCAUCACAUGUAAGCUUGAGAAUGCCGGUCCCUCUGUAAAUGCAAUUGGAACUUUUCUUCAUUUGUUUUGUAGUCUUGAUCGCUUAUUUUUUUUAAAACAGUUCUAAGCUCACAUGGGAAAAAGUUGAAGACCUUAAGAUGGAACACUGUUACAUUGCAUCAGAUUAUACAUCAGAAGUCCGAAUAUUUCAGGUAGUGUAGUUUGGUCUUUCUGACUUGUCUGCAACUAUUCUGCUUUGCUUCUGCAAUCAUCUAAGCAAUUCAACUUGUAGCAGAAAGGGGAUAAAGAAGCUGAAGAAAAGACCAGGUGCUGGCAGCUUCCUUGGACUCCUGCACCAGCUGAAGAACAACCUUCAGAAGAAGAGCUAGCUGGAAAGGCUGCUCUAAAGGAGAGACAGGGUCAAAGACUAAGGGAGAUGGCUGAAGCAAAGAGGUCCUCUCGAAUUAAUGAGCUUGAAAAUGACAUUAGAGGUUUGGAAUUCCUCUUAAAGCAGCUCAAGCUGGUUGAAGAGAAUAAUGUUCCUGCAUUUCUAAAGAGAGACUGGCUAUGCCUCUAAACAGGAAAUAGAAUCUAAUCUGGCAAAGGCAAUACAAUCUUUAUGCAAAGCAAAGGGCGAACAAGUUGAAACUGAGGAGAAGAUGGACGCUUCCACGGCUGACAAGUAUAAUCUUGUCAAUGUGCCUGACAAUGUGCUGACACCAGAGCAGGUGUGUGUUCCGAUUCCAUGUGUUCUAACAGAUCUUUGUCUUAUAGUUUCUGUUGAUUUUGGUAUUUUCUACUGCACAGCAAUUUCUAGUUAAACAAGAUACAAGAGCAGUGAAUGGCUGCUAAAUUGGAACCACAGUAUUGUUUUCAUGUAAUGUUCGUAACUUUCAGAAAUUUAAAUUUUUCACUCUUGUUUCCAUGGCAGCUUAAAGAGAAAAGGAAGCAGUUGUUUCUCAAAUCCACAACUGAGGCCAGGCAACGAGCUAAACAGAAGCGGAUUGAAGAGGAAUUAGAAAGAGAAAAAGCAAAUGAAAAUGGAGGAGGAAAAGCGCUUGUAUGUUUGUGAUUCGCAAGCUUAACUUGUCUAAUCAUUGCUUGAUGAUAUUGUAGAUAUGUGGUCUCUUUUACGUUGUAUUGUCAUUACAUUAUGCUUUGCUUCUGAAUGUAGAGAGAAGCCAGACGUGAUUUGGAGGAUUUACGUGCUAAAUACCGAGAGCUUUCUGAGAGAGUGGAGCAGCGAAAACGCUUGAAGCCAAAUGGCAACAACACAAAUGGGAACCAAAAUGGUUCUGGAGGUGUGGGCCGUGGUGAAAGAUUGAAUGUUGCUCAAAGAGAGAGGAUGCGCCUCCUGACAACAGCUGCAUUUGAUCGAGGGAAGGGCGAGGACACUUUUGGUAGCAUUUGGGAGUUUUGUGGGGUAGAAAAUGAUGGAAAGCAUUUGAUUUGGAUAAAUGAACUCCUACUAUUAUGGUUACCACCGAAUGUGGGCGGAAAGCAUCGAAAAAAAGCUAAGAAUGCCUAAUAAAAUUUUUCUAAAUGCCAAUUUUGUUCUCAAAUGUGUGCUGAAUAAAUUUUUAUUAACACACACACACACACACACACACACAUAUAUAUAUCCAAAAUCAUCACUAAUCCUACCUUAACUCAAAAACAAUAUUAAAAUCUAAUUUUUUUCCUUUCUCUUCUUUUCUUUUCUUUCAUAAUGUAGCAUUUUCUAUCAUUUGUUUUCUAAUCUAAACAUCCAAAUUAACUAUAAAUAUUAGAAUUUGAAAGAUUUUGAAAAGAAAUUGAACGAUACAAAGUAUGAUAUUUUUAAAGAAAAAAUUCACAAUAGAUGGCUAAUGAUAAAAAAAUAGUAAAAUUUGUUCAAAACGUACAUCAUAUUUUACAAAAUAAUUUUUUCGUCCUUCAUUUAAAAAAGUGUAUUUUUACGUUUCUUACAAAUUGAUAUUGAACAAUUUUGGUACCUACCUAAAUUUUUGACUAGUUUUUUAUUGGAAUCUAUCACAUGCUUUACACAUGAUCAUUUUUUAAGGACAAGAUUGUCAAAUUAAAAUUUACAUAAUUUGAUCCAUAGUUCCUCAUAUUUAACAAAAUAAAAUUUUGUCUCUCAUAUUUCACAAAAUAAAUUGUAUCAUCUCUCAUAUUUUAUAAAAUAAAUUUUUUCAUCCCUUAUUGACUAUGUGUACAAAUAAUUUUUUAAAUCUAACUAAUUUUACUUAAAUAAUAUGAAUAGCAUGUAAUUUAUUUUUAUUUGCUUUCAUCUAAGUAGACUAAUUGUAGUUAUACACAUGCUAUUCAAUAGAUAUAUACAUUGGUUUAAAAAUAAUAAUUUUAUUUUAAAUCAAUAUAUAUUUUUAUUUGAUUUCACCAUGUGAAUCUAUUCAAUAUUUAUGGCUUUUUCCCUUUUGUUAAUAAUUCAUUUAUUGAGUUAUAUAAUAAGGUCAUCUAAUAAAUCGGUCCUAAAUCGAAUUCUAUAGUCAUGCUAACAAAUUGUAUUUUAAAUAUGAAAUUUUGACUCGCCACUUUUAAGAUCAAUAAUUGAAUUAAUUGGUUUGUGAUUGUUUUAAAAUUUGAAAGUGUCAAUCAUUUACUUCUUUUGUCAUACUUUUCCUUCGUUUCUUUUUUCUGUUCAAAUUUAAUUCAAUAUAAACACUUGAUAAUAUUUAGAAUUAAAUGUUUUCUUUGUUUUUAAUUUUUGAAUAAAAGUAAAAUGAACAUGAGUAGAAAAUUAACAUUUUUUUAAACUUCUUUAUAUAUCUAUUUAAUUUCACUUGAAUAUUACAUUCAGACGAAAUUAAAUAAAGAUAUAUUAUAUGCUAUUUAUAUUGUUCAUGUGAAAUUAAAUAGACAUAUAUACAUGAGUUACUUUUUAAAGUUAUUUGCAUAUAUGAUCAAUGAUGGAUAAAAAAAUUUAAUUUAUAAAAUAUGAGGGUCGAAACAAUUCAUUUUGUAAAAUGUGAGAUAUUAUCAAUCAGAUUAUGUAAAUUUUGAUUUGCUAAUUUUGUCCUUAAAAAUGAUCACGUGCAAAGCACGUGGUGGAUUCCAAUAAAAAAACUAGACGCAAAUUUAGGUAGAGAUGAAAUUUGACAAAUAUGAAUUUGUUAGGGACGUAAAAAUACACUUUUAAAAGUGAGAAACAAAAAAUUCAUUUUGCAAACUAUAAGAGGUGUUUCGAACGAUUUUUCCUAAAAAAAUAUAAAAUAUGCUAUGUUUUAUUGAUUUAUUUCUUUAAUUUACGGGUCUAUUAUUUCACAUGUUUUACAAGAAAUUUUCAUCAUUUGUAAUUUACAGGGAAAAUAAGUGCUAUUUUCAAAUAUUCCGGGGAGGGUAGCGAAAUUGAUAGAAAUCUAAAGGGGGGUUUCUGAAAUUAUACCUAUCAUCAACACAUAUAACCAUCAUUGACUCACCUAGGGUUUUAACGCAACUGUUCUGGGACUCCUCCAUCGCUAGCUACAAGCAGCCCCAUCACCCAUUCCCCGCCGGCCCUCAUCACCCAUCAGAAAAUGGUUAAGGGACGCCAAGGAGAGCGCGUCAGGUCAUCUAAUUUUCCGACUCCAUCUCCAUUUUCCCCUUAUUCAUUAAUUUGAUUUUUGUCCCGAUUUUUUGGGUUUAACCCUGCAGGCUUUACGUUAGAGGAACAAUACUGGGAUACAAGAGGUCGAAGUCCAACCAGUACCCGAACACUUCGUUGAUUCAGAUCGAAGGAGUGAUCACAAAGGAGGAGGUGGCUUGGUACCUCGGCAAGAAGAUGGCGUACAUCUACAAGGCUAAGGUUAAGAAGAAUGGAUCUCAUUACCGCUGCAUUUGGGGAAAGGUUUGCCGGCCUCACGGUAACAGCGGCCUUGUCCGAGCCAAGAUGAAGUCCAACCUGCCCCCCAAGUCAAUGGUAAUACUAACUGUACUGAUGUUCCUUUAUUUAUUUUUCCUAUUUGGUUUGCUAUUUGUUUUUCUUAAAUGAAUGUUUCUGUAUUUUGAUAUUUCA